ACGAACGCUGGCGGCGUGCUUAACACAUGCCAGUCGAACGGAAAGGCCCCUUUGGGGGUACUCGAGUGGCGAACGGGUGAGUAACACGUGAGUAACCUGCCCUUGACUUCGGGAUAACUUCAGGAAACUGGGGCUAAUACCGGAUAGGAAUCCUUGCUGCAUGGUGGGGGUUGGAAAGCUUCGGCGGUUUUGGAUGGACUCGCGGCUUAUCAGCUUGUUGGUGGGGUAGUGGCUUACCAAGGCUUUGACGGGUAGCCGGCCUGAGCGGGCGACCGGCCACAUUGGGACUGAGAUACGGCCCAGACUCCUACGGGAGGCAGCAGUGGGGAAUAUUGCACAAUGGGCGGAAGCCUGAUGCAGCAACGCCGCGUGCGGGAUGACGGCCUUCGGGUUGUAAACCGCUUUCAGCAGGGGCGAAGCUUGUGGUGACGGUACCUGCAGAAGAAGCACCGGCUAACUACGUG
Molecule: ribosomal RNA, 464 nt
Filed under: uncultured bacterium
Lineage: Bacteria
Description: partial 16S ribosomal RNA
Rfam family: Bacterial small subunit ribosomal RNA
Source: RNAcentral